This 393-nucleotide ribosomal RNA is filed under the name uncultured bacterium. Its description in RNAcentral is "partial 16S ribosomal RNA". It matches the Rfam family "Bacterial small subunit ribosomal RNA", at positions 523 to 918 of the family's 1533-position model. The record is from RNAcentral.
ACACGGAGGCUCCGAGCGUUAUCCGGAUUUAUUGGGCUUAAAGGGUGCGCAGGCGGGAGAUUAAGCCGGCCGAGCAAUUUUGCUGCCCUCAUGUUCAACAUCCUUCGCAACUGGUUUCCUUGUGCGUGGAUGGCGUAGGCGGAAUCUGCGGUGUACCGGUGCAAUGCAUAGAUAUCAAGAGGAACUCCGACUGCGCAGGCAGCUUACUAAACUACUACUGACGCUCAGGCACGAAGGCGUGGGGAUCAAACAGGAUUAGAUGCCCUGGUAGUCCACGCAGUAAACGAUGAUUACUAGCUGUUUGCGAUACAAUGUAAGCGGCUGAGCGAAAGCGUUAAGUAAUCCACCUGGGGAGUACGUUCGCAAGAAUGAAACUCAAAUGAAUUGACGGGG